GCCAGUAUGGUACAGUGGUUUGCGUGCUGGACUAGAAUUCCAGGACAGGGUUCAAAUCCCCUGUCA
Non-coding RNA from Phrynosoma platyrhinos (Desert horned lizard), 66 nucleotides. Lineage: Eukaryota; Metazoa; Chordata; Lepidosauria; Squamata; Phrynosomatidae. The record is from the annotation of a GenBank genome assembly.